RNAcentral lists this long non-coding RNA (2120 nucleotides) under Sorghum bicolor (sorghum). RNAcentral describes it as "long non-coding RNA (SBIC_LNC009360)". The record is from RNAcentral. Lineage: Eukaryota; Viridiplantae; Streptophyta; Magnoliopsida; Poales; Poaceae.
CCAUUUUUUAUUAGAGAAAAAAAGACGCACAUCUCGAGAUUAACGAAGUUACCACAGGUGCCUCGUUGUCAACGAAAACGUCGCCUACCACUAAAAGUACAACACAGUUAAUAAAUUUUGUAAUAAAUUUAGAAAAAAGCGAGUACCUAUGCUAAGUCAAAGACUUGAACCCGGAUGGACAGAAUCCACCACAAGGUAGCGCAGUUUGUGUGAGAAAAUGAAACGUGGCCCAUGGAUUGCACAAAUGAAUAUAAGAAUUGGUUAUUAAUUCCGAUACUAUUAUUCCAUCUGGAUGUUGAGAGUUCAGAACACUAAUGGAGAAUAUCUGAUUAGAUCCAUCAUUCAUACUACAGGAUAGUGGAUUGCUUCUUCUGUGUAAAAUAUAUAAAGACCUGCACACUUACUGAAACGGUGAAGAAAAUAAAGAUCAUCUCCUCACAAGAAGAGAGUUUUUUUCACAGCUUUUCCCCCAUGGCAGCGCUCAUCAUCAAGAGCGCAAUCAUCGCAGUUUUCUUGGUUGUGGGACUCAUAUCUUCCACAUCCACUAGUUGCGUUGGUGCAAUAGGUAGGCACCAACCACUGUUUCUUGCUUUAAAUUGCAUCAUCUUUGCAUGCAUGUUGACAAGAUUUUGCUUAAUACUAUAUCUAACAAUUCUUCUUGUGUGUUGCAGGCACGGAGUCAUAUCAUCCACGUCCAUUCACUAGUACAGGGAAGGGCUUUAGCCCCGGGCCGUAAGCGCCUUUAGUUCCGGCUACGGAACCGGGGCUAAGGUUUCGGGACUAAAUGUCCCACCUUUAGUCUCGGUUCCGUGGACCGGGACUAAAGGUCCACCUUUAGUCCCGGUUGGUAACAGCAACCGGGACUAAAAGGUGUGCCAAGGUGUGCCACCUGGCCUCCACUUUUAGUCCCGGUUGUUGCUACCAACCGGGACUAAAGACUUUUUCUUUUUUUUUCUUUUUCUUUUCAUUUGGUUUUCCAUUUAGGGUUUACAAUUAUGUUAUUGUUAUUUUCGAAUGCGUAUUGUUUGCUGGUAGUUUAUGGAACGCGCAUCUAUAUAAUUUAUAUAAUUUAAAGGAUUACAUAUAAAUAUACUAUAAAGCACUAUAUAUAUAUAAAUAAUUAUAUCUAUAGGUCCAUAAUAAAAUAUUUACACAUAUGCUUCUCGGAUAAAGUAUUUACAACACAAUUUUUCUCCACCACUCAAGCAUCAUACAAAUGAUCAUCGUUAUUUGGUUUCAUCUGCUCCUGAGUGUUGAAGUAGCACUCGCCGCCGGAAUCCAGGACUUGGUCAUUAAGAAAUCCUGCGAUUGUCUCCUGAAUUCCUUUUAGGCGCACCGCAUCCAACACCUGCUCCUUCAGCCACAUCUCCUUUAAUAGACAUUAAAGAAAAAAGUUAGAGGUAUGAAUAGGAUUUAUUAAAUAGCAACAAAUAAAUGAAAUAUACUUAUUAUAUAUACAUGUUACAUACUUUUAGGUGCUCAAGAUUAGUUCUUUUGGCAUACACCGUCAUAAACUCGCACACAUAGUAGCCACACAAAUUGUUGCCCGGUGUCUGCCGUAGAACCCACUGAAGUAAGAUGGGCUUUGAAAGUGCUGCAUUCAACUCUGGACGGUGUUUCUGCACGAACCCAGCCCAAACCCUAGCAAUAAAACGAUCAUUAUUAAUUAUCCAUUACCAAGUUAAAAGAGCAGAAUUUAAUAUAUAGAGAUCGAAGUUACCCUUGGAUAAUAUCUAUCAUUUCUUGGUAAUCAUCCUGUGGUUUUCUCAAUGAGUCAUAGAUUACCAAUUGACAUUGCGAGAGAUCAAUGACAAUUAGUAUCCAAUGAAAGCUGCAUUUGUGUGCAUAUGUAGGCAAAAUUAGUAUAUAUCUUCAUAUUGUUUUGAUUAAUUAGUUAAAUAGAAUGUACACACGAUAAUGACACUUACUUAAAGUUGUAGGGAAAGAGUAUAUAUCUUUUAUCUUUUUGGUUGAUCAAGAACCUCCGUAGAUUUCUCUCUGUUUGAGUUCUCCAUAAAACAUACGGGGUCUUGUGGUCUUUGAAUACAACAUUUGGAUCCACAAAUCCAAUCUCCUUGUCAUUUCUAACUCUGAGGUCCCUCAUCAUGUUUCUGCAUAUG